AGAGUUUGAUCAUGGCUCAGAUUGAACGCUGGCGGCAGGCCUAACACAUGCAAGUCGAACGGUAACAGGAAGCAGCUUGCUGCUUUGCUGACGAGUGGCGGACGGGUGAGUAAUGUCUGGGAAACUGCCCGAUGGAGGGGGAUAACUACUGGAAACGGUAGCUAAUACCGCAUAACGUCGCAAGACCAAAGAGGGGGACCUUCGGGCCUCUUGCCAUCGGAUGUGCCCAGAUGGGAUUAGCUAGUAGGUGGGGUAAAGGCUCACCUAGGCGACGAUCCCUAGCUGGUCUGAGAGGAUGACCAGCCACACUGGAACUGAGACACGGUCCAGACUCCUACGGGAGGCAGCAGUGGGGAAUAUUGCACAAUGGGCGCAAGCCUGAUGCAGCCAUGCCGCGUGUAUGAAGAAGGCCUUCGGGUUGUAAAGUACUUUCAGCGGGGAGGAAGGGAGUAAAGUUAAUACCUUUGCUCAUUGACGUUACCCGCAGAAGAAGCACCGGCUAACUCCGUGCCAGCAGCCGCGGUAAUACGGAGGGUGCAAGCGUUAAUCGGAAUUACUGGGCGUAAAGCGCACGCAGGCGGUUUGUUAAGUCAGAUGUGAAAUCCCCGGGCUCAACCUGGGAACUGCAUCUGAUACUGGCAAGCUUGAGUCUCGUAGAGGGGGGUAGAAUUCCAGGUGUAGCGGUGAAAUGCGUAGAGAUCUGGAGGAAUACCGGUGGCGAAGGCGGCCCCCUGGACGAAGACUGACGCUCAGGUGCGAAAGCGUGGGGAGCAAACAGGAUUAGAUACCCUGGUAGUCCACGCCGUAAACGAUGUCGACUUGGAGGUUGUGCCCUUGAGGCGUGGCUUCCGGAGCUAACGCGUUAAGUCGACCGCCUGGGGAGUACGGCCGCAAGGUUAAAACUCAAAUGAAUUGACGGGGGCCCGCACAAGCGGUGGAGCAUGUGGUUUAAUUCGAUGCAACGCGAAGAACCUUACCUGGUCUUGACAUCCACGGAAGUUUUCAGAGAUGAGAAUGUGCCUUCGGGAACCGUGAGACAGGUGCUGCAUGGCUGUCGUCAGCUCGUGUUGCGAACGGCCUGGCUGUUAGAACAUGAAGCCCCGGAUGCAAAAUCUGCCGAUGCGAAUAUUGCCUUUUGUAUGGCAAUGACGCCAGAAGCUGAACAAUUAUUGCCCGUUUUACAGCGUUACGGCUUCGAAACGCUCGAAAAACUGGCAGUUUUAGGCUGAUUUGGUUGAAUGUUGCGCGGUCAGAAAAUUAUUUUAAAUUUCCUCUUGUCAGGCCGGAAUAACUCCCUAUAAUGCGCCACCA
RNAcentral lists this ribosomal RNA (1311 nucleotides) under Escherichia coli. RNAcentral describes it as "bacterial SSU rRNA". It matches the Rfam family "Bacterial small subunit ribosomal RNA", at positions 8 to 1104 of the family's 1533-position model. Lineage: Bacteria; Pseudomonadati; Pseudomonadota; Gammaproteobacteria; Enterobacterales; Enterobacteriaceae. The record is from RNAcentral.